GGAGUCGGCCGGACAGUCGCGUCGUUCCUUCGGGAGCGCCGAGGAAAGUCCGGGCUCCACAGGGCAAGGUGCCAGGUAACGCCUGGGCGGCGCGAGCCGACGGAAAGUGCAACAGAAAGAUACCGCCUACGUCUCCUCCGGGAGGCCGGUAAGGGUGAAAUGGUGCGGUAAGAGCGCACCGCGAGUCCGGCAACGGACCGGCACGGCAAACCCCACCUGGAGCAAGACCAAAUAGGGACCUAAUGGCGUGGCCCGCGUCGGGUCCGGGUAGGUUGCUCGAGCGUCACGGUGACGUGGCGCCUAGAAGAAUGACUGUCCACGACAGAACCCGGCUUACAGGCCGGCUCCGCCG
Non-coding RNA from Stenotrophomonas sp. Leaf70, 352 nucleotides. NCBI's taxonomy places the organism in Bacteria, Pseudomonadati, Pseudomonadota, Gammaproteobacteria, Lysobacterales, Lysobacteraceae. The record is from Rfam.